This 502-nucleotide ribosomal RNA is filed under the name uncultured bacterium. Its description in RNAcentral is "partial 16S ribosomal RNA". It matches the Rfam family "Bacterial small subunit ribosomal RNA", at positions 28 to 507 of the family's 1533-position model. The record is from RNAcentral.
GACGAACGCUGGCGGCGUGCCUAAUACAUGCAAGUCGAACGAACCGCGACUAGGUGCUUGCACUUGGUCAAGGUGAGUGGCGAACGGGUGAGUAACACGUGGGUAACCUACCUCAUAGUGGGGGAUAACAGUCGGAAACGACUGCUAAUACCGCAUAGGACAUAGGAUCACAUGAUCCAGUGAGGAAAGGUGGCGCAAGCUAUCGCUAAGAGAUGGACCCGCGGUGCAUUAGCUAGUUGGUAGGGUAAAGGCCUACCAAGGCGAUGAUGCAUAGCCGACCUGAGAGGGUGAUCGGCCACAUUGGGACUGAGACACGGCCCAAACUCCUACGGGAGGCAGCAGUAGGGAAUCUUCCGCAAUGGACGCAAGUCUGACGGAGCAACGCCGCGUGAGUGAAAAAGGUCUUCGGAUCGUAAAGCUCUGUUGUUAGAGAAGAACAGCGCAUAGAGUAACUGUUAUGCGUGUGACGGUAGCUAACCAGAAAGCCACGGCUAACUACGUG